This 253-nucleotide ribosomal RNA is filed under the name uncultured prokaryote. Its description in RNAcentral is "partial 16S ribosomal RNA". It matches the Rfam family "Bacterial small subunit ribosomal RNA", at positions 524 to 776 of the family's 1533-position model. The record is from RNAcentral.
UACGAGAGCCCCAAGCGUUACCCGGAAUUAUUGGGCGUAAAGGGUGUGUAGGCGGUCAUGUUAGUCGUUUGUUAAAGCCCGAGGCUCAACCUCGGAAUCGCUGACGAAACGGCAUGACUCGAGGGUGUGAGGGGUAUAGGGAACUCAUGGUGUAGGGGUGAAAUCCGUUGAUAUCAUGGGGAACACCAAAAGCGAAGGCACUAUACUGGCACACUCCUGACGCUGAGACACGAAAGCGUGGGUAGCGAACGGG